Molecule: ribosomal RNA, 301 nt
Filed under: uncultured bacterium
Lineage: Bacteria
Description: partial 16S ribosomal RNA
Rfam family: Bacterial small subunit ribosomal RNA
Source: RNAcentral
CAGCAGCCGCGGUAAUGCGUAGGUGGCAAGCGUUGUCCGGAAUUAUUGGGCGUAAAGGGCUCGCAGGCGGUUUCUUAAGUCUGAUGUGAAAGCCCCCGGCUCAACCGGGGAGGGUCAUUGGAAACUGGGAAACUUGAGUGCAGAAGAGGAGAGUGGAAUUCCACGUGUAGCGGUGAAAUGCGUAGAGAUGUGGAGGAACACCAGUGGCGAAGGCGACUCUCUGGUCUGUAACUGACGCUGAGGAGCGAAAGCGUGGGGAGCGAACAGGAUUAGAUACCCCAGUAGUCCCUGUCUCUUAUAC